CCUACGGGUGGCAGCAGUGAGGAAUAUUGGUCAAUGGCCGAGAGUCUGAACCAGCCAAGUCGCGUGAGGGAUGACGGCCCUAUGGGUUGUAAACCUCUUUUAUAGGGGAAUAAAGCGCGGGACGUGUCCCGUUUUGCGUGUACCCUAUGAAUAAGGAUCGGCUAACUCCGUGCCAGCAGCCGCGGUAAUACGGAGGAUCCGAGCGUUAUCCGGAUUUAUUGGGUUUAAAGGGUGCGUAGGCGGUUUUUUAAGUCAGCGGUGAAAGUCUGGGGCUCAACCCUAGAAGUGCCGUGGAAACUGGGAGGCUUGAGUAGGAUUGAGGUAGGCGGAAUGCGUGGUGUAGCGGUGAAAUGCUUAGAUAUCACGCAGAACUCCGAUUGCGAAGGCAGCAUGCC
This 395-nucleotide ribosomal RNA is filed under the name uncultured bacterium. RNAcentral describes it as "partial 16S ribosomal RNA". It matches the Rfam family "Bacterial small subunit ribosomal RNA", at positions 338 to 730 of the family's 1533-position model. The record is from RNAcentral.